This 182-nucleotide small RNA is filed under the name Chrysemys picta bellii (western painted turtle). Its description in RNAcentral is "TUC338 (ENSCPBG00000027119.1)". The record is from RNAcentral. Lineage: Eukaryota; Metazoa; Chordata; Testudines; Emydidae.
CUGACAGCACUAGAGACUGAAGUCCUGUAUAUAUACACCCAAGAGAUGUACCACACAGGCUACAACAAUGCACGCUUCCCCACACUGUCUUGCCAAUGUGGCUCACUCUUAGGCUACGUCUUCACUACCCGCCUGAAUCGGUGGGUAGAAAUCGAUCUCUCGGGGAUCGAAUUAUCGCGUCU